This 67-nucleotide transfer RNA is filed under the name bovine gut metagenome. It matches the Rfam family "tRNA". Rfam says of the family: Transfer RNA (tRNA) molecules are approximately 80 nucleotides in length. Their secondary structure includes four short double-helical elements and three loops (D, anti-codon, and T loops). The record is from RNAcentral.
GAGAAUAGUUAAAUGGCAUAACUACGGUCUCCAAAACCGUUGUUGAGGGUUCGAUUCCUUCUUCUCC